GUCGGUGGAGGUGGUGUUUUGCAUGAUCAUCUAGGCCACUGGGGAGGCUUCUUUGCAAAGUUUAGUGUUUGCACCUUAAUGCAAGCGGAAGAUGCUUUAGCAUGUGGUUUGAAUAUGGCAUGGGAGUUGGGUUACCAUAAGACAGUUGCUGAAAUGGACCCUCAAAUCAUUGUGCAGUUAAUCAAUGACAAAGUUAAUCUAUUU
Molecule: unclassified non-coding RNA, 204 nt
Filed under: Hevea brasiliensis (rubber tree)
Lineage: Eukaryota; Viridiplantae; Streptophyta; Magnoliopsida; Malpighiales; Euphorbiaceae
Source: RNAcentral